Malania oleifera is the source of this 464-nucleotide long non-coding RNA. RefSeq lists it as uncharacterized. Lineage: Eukaryota; Viridiplantae; Streptophyta; Magnoliopsida; Santalales; Ximeniaceae. The transcript is spliced from 2 exons. The record is from RefSeq and is a predicted model, not a curated record.
UUGCAUUCAAGAAGCAGAAAGGCUUUCAAGUAUCAAAUCCACUGUUAGACAUCUUCUGUACAUAAAUAAAUUGGGGGGGGGGGUGUUGAUAAGGUAAUAUCGUGUCAAUUAAAUUUGGUUAAAUUCAACUUAUAAAUCGUUUUCUUAUUUGUUUCAGUCAUACUAUAUUUGUUCUGCAACAGAUCUAGUAAGAAUUGACAAUGUUAAGAAUCAGAAGGAAAACAGGCAUCUUUGGAGGUCCAUCCGUGCGUCGGUCCCAGUAGAUAAAAGGACUAGGGAGGUUAUUUUGGUUAGCUUAUGUAAGCAUCUAAAUUUUUGUACUAAACUUGAUGAAAGUCCUUUUUGGAGGGUUGUAAUAUGACGAUUACUCUAAGUCCGAAUGUAUGUAAAUUAUGGAUGUAUUAGUGAACUCUGGUAUAAGGCUAGUAGUAAUCCCAAUGGAUGUUUAUGUUUUUUCCGCGACA